UUGAAGAGUUUGAUCAUGGCUCAGAUUGAACGCUGGCGGCAGGCCUAACACAUGCAAGUCGAGCGGUAGCACAGAGAGCUUGCUCUCGGGUGACGAGCGGCGGACGGGUGAGUAAUGUCUGGGAAACUGCCUGAUGGAGGGGGAUAACUACUGGAAACGGUAGCUAAUACCGCAUAAUGUCGCAAGACCAAAGUGGGGGACCUUCGGGCCUCAUGCCAUCAGAUGUGCCCAGAUGGGAUUAGCUAGUAGGUGGGGUAACGGCUCACCUAGGCGACGAUCCCUAGCUGGUCUGAGAGGAUGACCAGCCACACUGGAACUGAGACACGGUCCAGACUCCUACGGGAGGCAGCAGUGGGGAAUAUUGCACAAUGGGCGCAAGCCUGAUGCAGCCAUGCCGCGUGUGUGAAGAAGGCCUUCGGGUUGUAAAGCACUUUCAGCGGGGAGGAAGGCGAUAAGGUUAAUAACCUUGUCGAUUGACGUUACCCGCAGAAGAAGCACCGGCUAACUCCGUGCCAGCAGCCGCGGUAAUACGGAGGGUGCAAGCGUUAAUCGGAAUUACUGGGCGUAAAGCGCACGCAGGCGGUCUGUCAAGUCGGAUGUGAAAUCCCCGGGCUCAACCUGGGAACUGCAUUCGAAACUGGCAGGCUAGAGUCUUGUAGAGGGGGGGUAGAAUUCCAGGUGUAGCGGUGAAAUGCGUAGAGAUCUGGAGGAAUACCGGUGGCGAAGGCGGCCCCCUGGACAAAGACUGACGCUCAGGUGCGAAAGCGUGGGGAGCAAACAGGAUUAGAUACCCUGGUAGUCCACGCCGUAAACGAUGUCGAUUUGGAGGUUGUGCCCUUGAGGCGUGGCUUCCGGAGCUAACGCGUUAAAUCGACCGCCUGGGGAGUACGGCCGCAAGGUUAAAACUCAAAUGAAUUGACGGGGGCCCGCACAAGCGGUGGAGCAUGUGGUUUAAUUCGAUGCAACGCGAAGAACCUUACCUGGUCUUGACAUCCACAGAACUUUCCAGAGAUGGAUUGGUGCCUUCGGGAACUGUGAGACAGGUGCUGCAUGGCUGUCGUCAGCUCGUGUUGUGAAAUGUUGGGUUAAGUCCCGCAACGAGCGCAACCCUUAUCCUUUGUUGCCAGCGGUUAGGCCGGGAACUCAAAGGAGACUGCCAGUGAUAAACUGGAGGAAGGUGGGGAUGACGUCAAGUCAUCAUGGCCCUUACGACCAGGGCUACACACGUGCUACAAUGGCAUAUACAAAGAGAAGCGACCUCGCGAGAGCAAGCGGACCUCAUAAAGUAUGUCGUAGUCCGGAUUGGAGUCUGCAACUCGACUCCAUGAAGUCGGAAUCGCUAGUAAUCGUAGAUCAGAAUGCUACGGUGAAUACGUUCCCGGGCCUUGUACACACCGCCCGUCACACCAUGGGAGUGGGUUGCAAAAGAAGUAGGUAGCUUAACCUUCGGGAGGGCGCUUACCACUUUGUGAUUCAUGACUGGGGUGAAGUCGUAACAAGGUAACCGUAGGGGAACCUGCGGUUGGAUCACCUCCUU
Molecule: ribosomal RNA, 1537 nt
Filed under: Klebsiella pneumoniae
Lineage: Bacteria; Pseudomonadati; Pseudomonadota; Gammaproteobacteria; Enterobacterales; Enterobacteriaceae
Description: bacterial SSU rRNA
Rfam family: Bacterial small subunit ribosomal RNA
Source: RNAcentral